RNAcentral lists this small RNA (165 nucleotides) under Phascolarctos cinereus (koala). Its description in RNAcentral is "TUC338 (ENSPCIG00000015806.2)". The record is from RNAcentral. Lineage: Eukaryota; Metazoa; Chordata; Mammalia; Diprotodontia; Phascolarctidae.
CUGACAGCUUUGAAACACAAAGUCCUCUGUUUAUCCAUAAAGACGCAUAUAUGGCAUGGCCACUAACAAUUCCAAGCUUUCUUGAUGAGUGUACAUAUCUCUGUUUGCCCCUCCAGAGAGUGAGAAAAGGGUUCACAUUCUGGGCCCAUUCAAUUCUUGGCUGCU